CGGUGUUUAACUGGCGUGAUGUGGGACGUCCUACCGGUGGGCUUAGCCUCGCGAGGGGCGGCCCAACUAAUAUCCCGUCGCGGUGCUCUUUACUGAGUGUCGAGUCGGGCCGGUACGUUUACUUUGAACAAAUUAGAGUGCUUAAAGCAGGCUAUCCUCGCCUGAAUACUGCGUGCAUGGAAUAAUGGAAUAGGACCUCGGUUCUAUUUUGUUGGUUUUCGGAACCCCGAGGUAAUGAUUAAUAGGGACAGAUGGGGGCAUUCGUAUUGCGACGUUAGAGGUGAAAUUCUUGGAUCGUCGCAAGACGGACAGAAGCGAAAGCAUUUGCCAAAAAUGUUUUCAUUAAUCAAGAACGAAAGUUAGAGGUUCGAAGGCGAUCAGAUACCGCCCUAGUUCUAACCAUAAACGAUGCCAGCUAGCGAUCCGCCGAAGUUCCUCCGAUGACUCGGGCGGGCAGCUUCCGGGAAACCAAAGCUUUUGGGUUCCGGGGGAAGUAUGGUUGCAAAGCUGAAACUUAAAGGAAUUGACGGAAGGGCACCACCAGGAGUGGAGCCUGCGGCUUAAUUUGACUCAACACGGGAAACCUCACCAGGCCCAGACACCGGAAGGAUUGACAGAUUGAUAGCUCUUUCUUGAUUCGGUGGGUGGUGGUGCAUGGGCCGUUCUUAGUUGGUGGAGCGAUUUGUCUGGUUAAUUCCGAUAACGAACGAGACUCUAGCCUGCUAAAUAGGCGUACCUUAUGGUAUCGCGAAGGCCCCCGGCUUCGGCCGGUGGGUUUUUACUACCAACGUACAAACAAAUCUUCUUAGAGGGCACAGGCGG
Molecule: ribosomal RNA, 822 nt
Filed under: uncultured eukaryote
Lineage: Eukaryota
Description: SSU rRNA
Rfam family: Eukaryotic small subunit ribosomal RNA
Source: RNAcentral